UCGCCUGUUUAACAAAAACAUCGCCUGUUGAAUAUAUAACAGGUCCAUCCUGCCCAGUGAAAUUAAUUUCAACGGCCGCGGUACCCUGACCGUGCAAAGGUAGCAUAAUCAUUUGCCUUUUAAUUGGAGGCUAGUAUGAAAGGACAAACAAGAAUAUAACUGUCUCCUCUAGGACAAUAAAAACUGAUAUUAAGGUGCAGAAGCCUUAAUAAUAAUAAAGGACAAGAAGACCCUAUAGAGCUUUACUAAUAAGAGAUAUAAAACUUAAAUAUUAGUUUGGUUGGGGCAACCUAAAUACAAAUACACCUAUUUAUAAAAACAACAUACACACAACUAAAAAUAAAUUAGAAUUAGCUACCUUAGGGAUAACAGGCUAAUCCCACUAGAGAGAUCACAUUGACAGUGGGGGUUGGCACCUCGAUGUUGGCUUAGCGUAACUAUUAGGCGCAGCUGUCUAAUAAAGUUGGUUUGUUCAACCAUUAAACCGCUACAUGAGCUGAGUUCAGACCGGA
Molecule: ribosomal RNA, 512 nt
Filed under: Nectoneanthes oxypoda
Lineage: Eukaryota; Metazoa; Annelida; Polychaeta; Phyllodocida; Nereididae
Description: partial large subunit ribosomal RNA
Rfam family: Bacterial large subunit ribosomal RNA
Source: RNAcentral